UGCUGUGAGCUCGAUGAGUAGGGCGGGACACGUGGUAUCCUGUCUGAAUAUGGGGGGACCAUCCUCCAAGGCUAAAUACUCCUGACUGACCGAUAGUGAACCAGUACCGUGAGGGAAAGGCGAAAAGAACCCCGGCGAGGGGAGUGAAAAAGAACCUGAAACCGUGUACGUACAAGCAGUGGGAGCCCCACCACUAAGCCAGUGGUGAACUCCACAUACGCAUCCUUUGCUGAGGAUACGGUUAACGGAGCGAAAGCGACGUUCAACCUCAAAAGAAGCAGAGGGGGCUUAGUGGUGG
RNAcentral lists this ribosomal RNA (298 nucleotides) under Salmonella enterica subsp. enterica serovar Give. Its description in RNAcentral is "partial 23S ribosomal RNA". It matches the Rfam family "Bacterial large subunit ribosomal RNA", at positions 395 to 677 of the family's 2925-position model. Lineage: Bacteria; Pseudomonadati; Pseudomonadota; Gammaproteobacteria; Enterobacterales; Enterobacteriaceae. The record is from RNAcentral.